GACGAACGCUGGCGGCGUGCUUAACACAUGCAAGUCGAACGGAAAGGCCCUGCUUUUGUGGGGUGCUCGAGUGGCGAACGGGUGAGUAACACGUGAGUAACCUGCCCUUGACUUUGGGAUAACUUCAGGAAACUGGGGCUAAUACCGGAUAGGAGCUCCUGCUGCAUGGUGGGGGUUGGAAAGUUUCGGCGGUUGGGGAUGGACUCGGGGCUUAACAGCUUGUUGGUGGGGUAGUGGCUUACCCAGGCUUUGACGGGUAGCCGGCCUGGGAGGGUGAACGGGCACAUUGGGACUGCGAUACGGCCCAGACUCGUACGGGAGACAGCAGUGGGGAAUAUUGUACAAUGGGCGGAAGCGUGAUGCAGAGGCGCCGCGUGCGGGAUGACGGCCUUCGUGUUGUAAAGCGCAUUCGCCUGUGACGAAGCGUGAGUGACGGUAAUGGGUAAAGAAGCACCGGCUAACUACGUG
This 468-nucleotide ribosomal RNA is filed under the name uncultured bacterium. RNAcentral describes it as "partial 16S ribosomal RNA". It matches the Rfam family "Bacterial small subunit ribosomal RNA", at positions 28 to 507 of the family's 1533-position model. The record is from RNAcentral.